CCGCCUCCCGUCUCCUCCCCGCCCCCCGGAGCCGACGAGUGGCGGCGGCGGCCCCAGGUCCCGGGUCCCUCAGACAAGAGGGCGGGUGGAGGAGGAAGCGG
Molecule: microRNA precursor, 101 nt
Filed under: Chlorocebus sabaeus (green monkey)
Lineage: Eukaryota; Metazoa; Chordata; Mammalia; Primates; Cercopithecidae
Description: miRNA (ENSCSAG00000023380.1)
Source: RNAcentral